UUCUAUUAGAAAUUAUUAAUAGUAAAAUCUGCUCCAUGUAUAAUAAAUAGCCGCAAUUUGUGCUAAGGUAGCAUAAUCAUUUGUCUUUUAAAUGAAGACUGGAACAAAAGAUUUAACAUUUUCAGUUUAUUUUCCUAAUUCAUCCAAUCAAAUUUAUCCUAAAUGUAAAAAGACAUUUAUAUAAAAGAAAGACGAUAAGACCCUAUUGAACUUAACUGUAGUUAAACUGGGGCAGUAAAUUAAUUAUCAUUUUAAUAAAAUUUACUCCACAAAUAUCUAAUAUAAUUAAAUAAUUCAGUUACCAUAGGGAUAACAGCGUAAUAAUCUUCUAAAGAUCUUAUUUAAAAUAUAGAUUACGACCUCGAUGUUGAAUUAAUAACCUAAUUAAGGCAAAACUUAAAAAAGGAAGUCUGUUCGACUUUUAAAAAAUUACAUGAUUUGAGUUCAGACCGGUGUAAGCCAGGUCGGUUUCUAUCUUCUAAAAAAUUUUUUACAGUACGAAAGGACCUAAAAAUAUAAUA
This 521-nucleotide ribosomal RNA is filed under the name Habronattus zebraneus. RNAcentral describes it as "partial 16S ribosomal RNA". It matches the Rfam family "Bacterial large subunit ribosomal RNA", at positions 1831 to 2706 of the family's 2925-position model. Lineage: Eukaryota; Metazoa; Arthropoda; Arachnida; Araneae; Salticidae. The record is from RNAcentral.